AACGAACGCUGGCGGCAUGCCUAACACAUGCAAGUCGAACGAGACCUUCGGGUCUAGUGGCGCACGGGUGCGUAACGCGUGGGAACCUGCCCUUAGGUUCUGAAUAACUCCCCGAAAGGGGUGCUAAUACCGGUUAAUGUCUUCGGACCAAAGAUUUAUCGCCUUUGGAUGGGCCCGCGUUGGAUUAGCUAGUUGGUAGGGUAAAAGCCUACCAAGGCGACGAUCCAUAGCUGGUCUGAGAGGAUGAUCAGCCACACUGGGACUGAGACACGGCCCAGACUCCUACGGGAGGCAGCAGUGGGGAAUAUUGGACAAGGGGCGAAAGCCUGAUCCAGCAAUGCCGCGUGAGUGAGGAAGGCGUUAGGGUUGUAAAGCUAUUUUACCCGGGAUGAUAAUGACAGUACCGGGAGAAUAAGCUCCGGCUAACUCCGUG
This 433-nucleotide ribosomal RNA is filed under the name uncultured bacterium. RNAcentral describes it as "partial 16S ribosomal RNA". It matches the Rfam family "Bacterial small subunit ribosomal RNA", at positions 29 to 507 of the family's 1533-position model. The record is from RNAcentral.